RNAcentral lists this ribosomal RNA (618 nucleotides) under Candida tropicalis. RNAcentral's name for it is "eukaryotic LSU rRNA". It matches the Rfam family "Eukaryotic large subunit ribosomal RNA", at positions 37 to 669 of the family's 3401-position model. Lineage: Eukaryota; Fungi; Ascomycota; Pichiomycetes; Serinales; Debaryomycetaceae. The record is from RNAcentral.
UGCAUAUCCAAAAAGCGGAGGAAAAGAAACCAACAGGGAUUGCCUUAGUAGCGGCGAGUGAAGCGGCAAAAGCUCAAAUUUGAAAUCUGGCUCUUUCAGAGUCCGAGUUGUAAUUUGAAGAAGGUAUCUUUGGGUCUGGCUCUUGUCUAUGUUUCUUGGAACAGAACGUCACAGAGGGUGAGAAUCCCGUGCGAUGAGAUGAUCCAGGCCUAUGUAAAGUUCCUUCGAAGAGUCGAGUUGUUUGGGAAUGCAGCUCUAAGUGGGUGGUAAAUUCCAUCUAAAGCUAAAUAUUGGCGAGAGACCGAUAGCGAACAAGUACAGUGAUGGAAAGAUGAAAAGAACUUUGAAAAGAGAGUGAAAAAGUACGUGAAAUUGUUGAAAGGGAAGGGCUUGAGAUCAGACUUGGUAUUUUGUAUGUUACUUCUUCGGGGGUGGCCUCUACAGUUUAUCGGGCCAGCAUCAGUUUGGGCGGUAGGAGAAUUGCGUUGGAAUGUGGCACGGCUUCGGUUGUGUGUUAUAGCCUUCGUCGAUACUGCCAGCCUAGACUGAGGACUGCGGUUUAUACCUAGGAUGUUGGCAUAAUGAUCUUAAGUCGCCCGUCUUGAAACCACGGACCCA